UUUCGACAACGGAUCUCUUGGCUCUCGCAUCGAUGAAGAACGCAGCGAAAUGCGAUAAGUAAUGUGAAUUGCAGAAUUCAGUGAAUCAUCGAAUCUUUGAACGCACCUUGCGCCCUUUGGUAUUCCGAGGGGCAUGCCUGUUUGAGUGUC
Molecule: ribosomal RNA, 150 nt
Filed under: Schizophyllum commune
Lineage: Eukaryota; Fungi; Basidiomycota; Agaricomycetes; Agaricales; Schizophyllaceae
Description: 5.8S ribosomal RNA
Rfam family: 5.8S ribosomal RNA
About the family: 5.8S ribosomal RNA (5.8S rRNA) is a component of the large subunit of the eukaryotic ribosome. It is transcribed by RNA polymerase I as part of the 45S precursor that also contains 18S and 28S rRNA.
Source: RNAcentral